This 381-nucleotide ribosomal RNA is filed under the name uncultured bacterium. RNAcentral describes it as "bacterial SSU rRNA". It matches the Rfam family "Bacterial small subunit ribosomal RNA", at positions 971 to 1425 of the family's 1533-position model. The record is from RNAcentral.
UUACCGGCUUGACAUGCGAAAGUCUUUAUUGCACAGAUCUUGCAUGGCCGUCGUCAGCUCGUGUCGUGAGAUGUUUGGUUAAGUCCAUCAACGAGCGCAACCCUGUCUCAGUUGAUUUCUGAGAGACUGCCCCGGCAAGGGGAGGAAGGAGGGGAUGAUGUCAGGUCAGUAUUAGUCUUACGCCGGGCUAGAAACGCAAUACAAUGGAGUACAUGCGGCACCGCGAGGGAAGCAAUCGAUAAACUGUCCCAGUUCGGAUUAGAGGCUGAAACUCGCCUCUAUGAAGUCGGAAUCGCUAGUAAUCGCAAUCAGCAAGUGCGGUGAAUACGUUCCCGGGUCUUGUACACACCGCCUGUCAAACCAUGAAAGUGACAAACCGAA